UAGGCGGACGGGUGAGUAAUGUCUGGGAAACGUGCCCGAUGGAGGGGGAUAACUACUGGAAACGGUAGCUAAUACCGCAUAACGUCGCAAGACCAAAGAGGGGGACCUUCGGGCCUCUUGCCAUCGGAUGUGCCCAGAUGGGAUUAGCUAGUAGGUGGGGUAAAGGCUCACCUAGGCGACGAUCCCUAGCUGGUCUGAGAGGAUGACCAGCCACACUGGAACUGAGACACGGUCCAG
Molecule: ribosomal RNA, 237 nt
Filed under: uncultured bacterium
Lineage: Bacteria
Description: partial 16S ribosomal RNA
Rfam family: Bacterial small subunit ribosomal RNA
Source: RNAcentral